GGAGUCUGGGCCGUGUCUCAGUCCCAAUGUGGCCGUUCAACCUCUCAGUCCGGCUACCGAUCGUCGCCUUGGUGGGCCGUUACCCCGCCAACAAGCUAAUCGGACGCGAGUCCAUCUUUGAGCGAUAAAAUCUUUGAUAUACCGACCAUGCGAUCAAUAUAUGUUAUGCGGUAUUAGCGUUCUUUUCAGAACGUUAUUCCCCUCUCAAAGGCAGGUUACUCACGCGUUACUCACCCGUCCGCCACUAAACUAAAAUUCCGUUUCCCCGAAGAGAUCCUUCCUAGUAGUUCCGUUCGACUUGCAUGUGUUAGGCACGCCGCCAGCGUUCGUCCUGAGCCACGGAUCAAACUACU
Molecule: ribosomal RNA, 353 nt
Filed under: uncultured Ruminococcus sp.
Lineage: Bacteria; Bacillati; Bacillota; Clostridia; Eubacteriales; Oscillospiraceae
Description: partial 16S ribosomal RNA
Source: RNAcentral